CCUGACACUCUGUGGGCAUGUAAUGCAGUUAGAGCCUACCUGAAUUUGUCUCUGAAAUACACUUCAUUGCAUGGGUAUGUGAUAAAUCUGUAUGGAACUGCGUACGCCGAAAUAAAUGGAACAGCUUCCGUAGUGAGUUUUGUAUAAACAUUACUCAAGUUACUGCUGAAGACUGACAGGCUCUGACUUCAUUUUUUCAAAUACUCUUCUAGCUGCUUAAUUUUAAUGACAUUCUUUGUGACAAAAGUAGCACACAGCAAGACCUUCAAUAUAUUUCUUCAUCAGAUAUGCUUUUGAGAAUAGUAUCUAUUGAUUCAUAACUAAUAAUGACUAAACUCCAGAAGUCAUUAGUAAAUCAAUUCAGGGAAAAUUACCUUUGAUUUCAGUAGUAAUUUCAUGCAUGAAUGGUUUAAAUGAUCAAUCUGGCAAGGUAUCAUACUUGCUUACCAUUUAGAACAGCCCAUACAACGAACAGCUAUGGUCUAUGAAAUAACUCCAGAAGCUUUCUGCCACUCUAGCUCUUUACCUGCUCUGAUUGGACCAAAUGAAUUUCUGGACUCUGACUUUCUGUGCAUUUCAUUAUGACUCAGACAUUUCAAAGCUAAUGACCAUAGAUUCAGAGCAUCGAUGAUACUGACACACAACUUUUCAAAUUGGUGGAUUUUCUUACAACUGCACGUCAUCAGAGGUCCAGGCCAGCAGCACUUUACAAAUUAACAGCAGUGCUAUAAAAAAGUCAAAUUGUGUGUAAUUUACACAAAGCACUUUCACCUGUGCUUUGUGAGAUGCAAACAUUUCAGCUGAGGAAAAACAAUGGAGUGGAGGUUGUCUUCUGGUCAGAUUUUGACAGGAAUGCAUGGCUUGACAUGCACUGGAGAAAGCAUGGGCUGUUCCUGGAGGUGUUGCCUUCCUUAUUUUGAAAUGUAAUUAAAAAAAAAAAAAAGUACAGAAAAUGUGCCUUUAAAACUGGAAUAUAUCCCAAAACUUCGCAUUUAUUGUUAAUUUUUCUGGUGGGAUUCUAGCAGCUAGUUAGUCUUUCUAGGCUAUGUUUUCUGGUACUUUACCUCACCUCAACUGCGUUUAUUUAUAACCUGAAAGCUCACGUUACCAAAUGUUCUUUUUCUUACCUUUUAUAUCCCUUGAGACAUAUAACUCUGGCCUAGAUUAAAGA
This 1171-nucleotide long non-coding RNA is filed under the name Anser brachyrhynchus (Pink-footed goose). RNAcentral describes it as "lncRNA (ENSABRG00000012389.1)". The record is from RNAcentral. Lineage: Eukaryota; Metazoa; Chordata; Aves; Anseriformes; Anatidae.